Molecule: long non-coding RNA, 2543 nt
Filed under: Nicotiana benthamiana
Lineage: Eukaryota; Viridiplantae; Streptophyta; Magnoliopsida; Solanales; Solanaceae
Description: long non-coding RNA (NBEN_LNC024066)
Source: RNAcentral
AUCAACUAUUUUGGGUUUUAGUCUCCGAGUGGGGUUUCAACUUGAGCUUAUUUGACCCUCAGCUUUUUGUAUUUGUACGGUCUAGCGACAAUGGCUCUUACGCCUAGGGUCGAAGAGACCUUUUAUUGUAAGCUGGCGUUUGAGCUCUUACGCUUUUGCUCUUAGGAAUUUUAGUUAACUAUUUUUGGUUCAGUCUCUGAGUCGGGUAUUGUUAGUUUAUAUAAGUUCACCAAACUAUAUCAGAUUAUGCUUAGAAUGAUAUAAAUACUGAAAGUACAGAAGGCAAGGGAUUUUUAUGUGGAAAAAUCCCACAUAAGGGGAUCAAAAUACCACGACCUAGUCGUGUAGGCUUUUAACUUUACUAACUUGAAAUCUUCCUAUUCUUUGACGGGAAACACAAAGUGUUUUCAGACAAAGAACAACAAGACAUUUUUUUGACUCGACCCUUAUUUAGGGAGACAAAACUAAAGAAAAGAGAAUGUGACCGAGCCCUGGUUUUGCAGCUGCCAAGAUAUCCUUGGCUAUAAAGGAAUCAGGCCACGUGUAGUUCGAAGUGAGAAGCGCGAUGGAGAGGUGGAGAGUCGAGUCGCGUGCCGUCGAGGUUCCAGUUCGCGGUUCCUUCCAUUACAUUAAAAUAAAAUGAAAAAAUUACAGCAAAAUUAAAAGAAAAACACAAGAUCCUAUCUAUUCCCCUGUCUUGAAACAUCCUUGAAUCUCUACUUGAACUUCAAAAUGCAACUAAAAAAACAUGGACCCUGCUCUUCAAGUGGGCUCCUGAUGCUUCUUGAAUUUGUGAGUUAAAGUAACUCUGAAAUUAGCUCCCUCGUUCUCCAGGUGGGCGCCUGAUUGCAAAGACUUGAAAUGUAUUCCCUCGUUCUCCAGGUGGGCGCCUGAUUGCGAAAAUUUGAAAUAUAUUCCCUCGUUAUCCAAGUGGACGCCUGAUCGCUAAAAUUUGAAACGUAUUCCUUUGUUAGCCAGGUGGGCACCUAAUUGCAAAACUUGAAAUGUAUUCCCUCGUUAUCCAGGUGGGCGCCUGAUUUCAAAAACUUGAAAUGUAUUCUCUCAUUAUCCAUGUGGGCGCCUGAUUGCAAAAACUUGAAAUGUAUUCCCUCGUUAUCCAGGUGGGCACCUGAUACUGCAACAAAAUAAACAAAACAAAAGAAACUUUUUCUGCCCCAGUUUGGGAUCUGGUCAUAUUUGUGAGUGUUAAUCGGAUCAUAUCACCUACAGAACUCUAACAAUUUAAAAGCUAAUCCCAUUAUCCAGGAGGGUCCGGAGAAUUUUAAAAACCUAAAUCCCAUUAUCCAGGAGGGUCCUGAAAAUUUUAUAAACUAAAUCCCAUUAUCCGUGAGGGUCCUGAGAAUUUUAAAAUCUAAAUCCCAUUAUCCAGGAGGGUCCUGAGCAUUUAUUAAAACUAAAUCCCAUUAUCCAGGAGGGUCCUGAAACUUUUAAACUAAAUCCCAUUAUCCAAGAGGGUCCUGAGAAUUUUGAAAACUAAAUCCCAUUAUCCAGGAGGGUCGUGAGAAUUUUGACAACUAAAUCUCAUUAUCCAGGAGGGUCCUGAGAAUUUUAAUAACUAAAUCCAUUAUCUAGGAGGGUCCUGAGAUUUUUGAAAACUAAAUCCCAUUAUCUAUGAGGGUCCUGAGAAUUUUGAAAACUAAAUCCCAUUAUCCAGGAGGGUCCUUAGAAUUUUGAAAACUAAAUCCUACUAUCCAGGAGGGUCUUGAGGAUUUUGGAAACUAAAUCUCAUUAUCCAGGAGGGUCCUCAGAAUUUUGAAAACUAAAUCUCAUUAUCCAGGAGGGUCUUGAGAAUUUUGAAAACUAAAUCCCAUUAUUCAAGAGGGUCCUGAGAAUUUUGAAGCUAAAUCCCAUUAUCCAACAGGGUCCUGAGAAUUUUGAAAACUAAAUCCCAUUAUCCAAGAGGGUCCUGAGAAUUUUAAAAACUAAAUCCUUUUAUCCAGGAGGGUCCUGAGAAUUUUAAGGAACUGAGAGUAAACUUAUUUGAGCCAUGCUCUCAUCUUGGAGGAUUCUGAACAGAAUUUCUUGCUCCCUGAACCAUACUUUUCCAUGGGAGGUCCCUGCGAACUUAUCAAUUUCUUGCCCCUGCUUUACACAAAUAAAAUCUUGUUAGUUUGAAAAUGUGGUGGUUAGUUUGCUGCAUCAUUGUUGAACGUCUGCUUCCGCGACUCCCAUGCUUCAUUUUGAAUAGCUGCUUCGGGCUAGGAAAGAGUUGUUUGACCUUUUGAUUGAAAUCUGGACCACAAAAUUUCUGCAUGUCCUGAAUCCCUCACACUCACUUGUUGCAUUGUAUUUUUAUUUAGAAAGUUGUUGAAUCCUUGUAUUUCCUCAAAAUGCAAGAUUCACCUGAUUGCCUGAACCUCAAUUAUCACCAUAUUGUUUAUUCUGAACCAUGUCAAUUUUGAUGUGCCUGGCCAGAAUCGCUUUGUGCAAUUUAGAAGUUGGUAGUAGGCUUUGAAAUCCUUUCCUGCUUGUUUAACAAGGGCUAACUAGGAAGAAACUCAUAAAGACAGACUUAAGGAGUA